This 24-nucleotide microRNA is filed under the name Blattella germanica (German cockroach). RNAcentral describes it as "Bge-Mir-2-P7_5p* (star (passenger))". Lineage: Eukaryota; Metazoa; Arthropoda; Insecta; Blattodea; Blattellidae. The record is from RNAcentral.
CAGAACUCUGGCUGUGACAUUGUG